UCUACUUGUGCUCAGACGCACAUUAAACCAGAGGUAUUUUUUCGGAUCUACACAUUCAAGGUAUGUAAAUCCGCUCAUAGCAAAUAAUGGAGAGCUGUCAGUGCCUAGAUCAGAUAUAAAUCUCAUCUAUACACUUUCACACAGUCCACUACUUUGCAGAUCGGCCUUACAACCCGAUCUACUGAUAGUCAACAGUGUCAAUUAUUGUUAUUUCAUCGGUUCUAUUCAUCCCUUUCCUUGUUAAACAUGUUAAUGGAACUGUAAAUUACUUGAAUCCGACAACUGAAUACCUACUAAAACCUACCCAACUAGCUGAUGGGUCUGUUGCUUAUGAAGUUUCAAGUACCUCCUCCCGCAAGCCAAGGCCGGCCAAGAAAGAAAAAACAACAGCAAAUAAUUACGGACCUAAUUCAUCAAGUGGUUCUGCCAAUGUCGCGACGCCAAGCGUCGUCCGCUCCUCCCUCCAGCCACCUUUAAUACAUGAUCUAGAACUCAUACAUAAAUGGAGAGAAGAGCGGAAAAGAAAACUGAUGGCCAGAUUGUAUAGGAACAACCCUCGAGGACCUACUAUGUCAUCCCCUUUUUAUCAGCCAUACUAGGAAUAAAGCCUUCUGGAAACGCAUCUGCCAAAGCAAGUGAACAAAAAUCAUACCGUCAAUCAGCAAAGAUUGACAAUGUGAGAAAGUCGUUUGCUCCGCUUGCCCUGUUGAAAGACAGAAAGGGCGGACGCGUAGAGAAGAGGCACACGUUGAAUCCUGGUACGUUGAACACCCACAUCAAUACCCAGGCGCUGCAUAAAAUAGGAAAGUCUGUGCAGAAACAGAAUAAUUGCCCCCAAAAGAACAAAGAGAAAACAACGGCCAAAGAUAGUAGAUUGUUUAUAAUGAAGAAAUACGAUGAGGAUCGUAAGAAAACUAUGAGAAAUACACUGGCCGCUAUCGAAAACACCAAAUUCACUCUUCAGUGUGAAAAAGACAAAGCUGAUGGACGAAAUACGAAAGACGACAUCAAAAGUGAACAGAUUGUUGACGAGUUGCAAGUCGUGAAAGACUAUUGCAAAGAUGAAUUGACUGCUGGUCAGGUUGCUCAGAUUAAUCAAGUCACUGAUGAAGAUCUCAAUACCACAUUCACGCUUCCAGGUUGUUGGCCUUGCGCCCAACCCCCUACCAGGAGGACCAGCGGGUAUCUGCAGCCACCAUGAAGCGACUGGGCGAUGGGAUCCCCAACCCCGACGCCGGUUGACUAUAGUAACCGGUAGUCCAUAGAUAAUAGACUAGUAACGUCUAUUGUACUUUAUUUGAAACUCUUGGACUAGGUACUUUUAAAAAGCAUUUCUUCAAUUUUUGCAUGAAUUUGAUCAUUUUACUAUUACAACAUGGUAUUCAUUGUAUAUGGAAUGUUCACUAAUAAUUCGAUUCUUUGAAUCAUUUGAAAUUUACUUGAAAAUGUGUAUACUCCUAAAUAUCCAGAAAAAAUUGCAACACUGAGAUGGACAGAGUUAUAUCUCUUGCUUCCAUUUGGAGUUGCGUGAAAGUUAUGCACAUUUGAUCUUUAGUAAUUAAUUGGCCGAUUGGAUUAAUAAAUUAGGCAAGUUUUCAUUCCGUCGUUAAAAAUAUGUAUGGAGAUGGAUUUUAAAUUCUACUUACCAAUCUUACCAAACUCUAUAACAUCAAGUUUCACUCCUCCAAAUUAUAAUUACUUAUUUCAUUUUUAUGACUUUGGAGUAUUUUUAUGAUAUUUUUUACAAUAUUAGGCAAAA
Molecule: RNA transcript, 1759 nt
Organism: Nilaparvata lugens (brown planthopper)
Lineage: Eukaryota; Metazoa; Arthropoda; Insecta; Hemiptera; Delphacidae
Exons: 6
Source: RefSeq, a predicted model, not a curated record